CCUACGGGAGGCAGCAGUAAGGAAUAUUGGUCAAUGGGCGGAAGCCUGAACCAGCCAUGCCGCGUGCAGGAAGACGGCCUACGGGUUGUAAACUGCUUUUGCAGGGGAAUAUGUACUCUGAGAAUAAGGAUCGGCUAACUCCGUGCCAGCAGCCGCGGUAAUACGGAGGAUCCGAGCGUUAUCCGGAUUUAUUGGGUUUAAAGGGUGCGUAGGCGGCCUUGUAAGUCAGGGGUGAAAGACGGUAGCUUAACUAUCGCAGUGCCUUUGAUACUGCAGGGCUUGAAUGUACUUGAGGUAGGCGGAAUGUGACAAGUAGCGGUGAAAUGCAUAGAUAUGUCACAGAACACCAAUUGCGAAGGCAGCUUACUAAGUUGAUUGACGCUGAGGCACGAAAGCGUGGGGAUCAAACAGGAUUAGAUACCCUUGUAGUC
Molecule: ribosomal RNA, 431 nt
Filed under: uncultured bacterium
Lineage: Bacteria
Description: partial 16S ribosomal RNA
Rfam family: Bacterial small subunit ribosomal RNA
Source: RNAcentral